Long non-coding RNA from Gadus morhua (Atlantic cod), 170 nucleotides. RefSeq lists it as uncharacterized. The transcript has 2 exons. The record is from RefSeq and is a predicted model, not a curated record. NCBI's taxonomy places the organism in Eukaryota, Metazoa, Chordata, Actinopteri, Gadiformes, Gadidae.
UACCCUGGUAUUGGGUGGUGACGCUGAACACCACAUCGUUUGGCCCCUCCUUCAGCUGCAGGCUGGCCUGCACACACACACACACACACACACACACACACACACACACACACACACACACACACACACACACACACACACACACACACACACACACACACACACACACA